Molecule: long non-coding RNA, 892 nt
Filed under: Capsicum annuum
Lineage: Eukaryota; Viridiplantae; Streptophyta; Magnoliopsida; Solanales; Solanaceae
Description: long non-coding RNA (CANN_LNC013330)
Source: RNAcentral
GCUUUUCCUUUACGUUACUGUCGCCACUGUUAUCGGUCACAAGAAGUUGAACGCCGCUGAUAAAUGUGAUGGUGUUGGUAUUCUUGGUAUUGCUUGGGCUUUUGGUGGCAUGAUCUUUGUACUUGUCUACUGCACUGCCGGUAUCUCUGGUAAGUACAUACAAAUGCCUAGACGGAUCUAGAAUUUUAACUUUGUUAUAACUGAGUAGGAAAAAGAGAGAAACAUUGCUGGUGCAAAUGUACCUUCAAAUUUGUUUUAAUAUGAGUAGAUAAGAAAAUGUAAGGUCAAUUCACUUGAAAAACAGAAAUUCGCUCCGCGUAGGACCCAUUUAAGAGUAAGCUUAACAACAUUUUUGACAUAUAAAGCUUGAAUUUGAGACAGGGCAACUUAUGUUGUUAAACAAACAAAAUAUGUUAUAAUCCUAUUUAGUGAUGCAUUAGCCACAUCAUCUGAAAAAAAAAAAUUAGUGACAGAGUCAAACGAGUUUUGUAGCUAAUUCAUAAUUUUUUUGUGUAGUGAAAGAGGUUCUAAAGAUAGAAAAAUGCGGGUUUAAUUUUUUUUUUUUUUAACUUGGGCAUAUUUAGUAACAACGUAAAAACUAAUUUAAUUCGGUGGUUUAAUUUGUUUAACAUCUUUGUUAUUGUGUGUUGUAGGUGGACAUAUUAACCCAGCAGUGACAUUUGGGUUGUUCUUAGCAAGGAAGGUGUCCUUAAUAAGGGCGGUGGGAUAUAUAAUAGCACAAUCAUUAGGUGCAAUUUGUGGAGUUGGUUUUGUGAAGGCAUUCAUGAAGCACUCCUACAACACAUUAGGUGGCGGUGCUAACUUUGUGCAACCUGGUUACAAUAAUGGCACUGCUUUGGGUGCUGAGAUUAUCGGUACAUUUGUUCUUGUU